UACAGAGGUCCCAAGCGUUGUUCGGAUUCAUUGGGCGUAAAGGGUGUGUGGGCGGCGCCGUAAGUCAGGUGUGAAAUCUCGGGGCUUAACUCCGAAACUGCAUUUGAUACUGCGGUGCUUGAGGACUGGAGAGGAGACUGGAAUUUACGGUGUAGCGGUGAAAUGCGUAGAUAUCGUAAGGAAGACCAGUGGCGAAGGCGGGUCUCUGGACAGUUCCUGACGCUGAGACACGAAGGCCAGGGGAGCAAACGGG
This 253-nucleotide ribosomal RNA is filed under the name uncultured bacterium. RNAcentral describes it as "partial 16S ribosomal RNA". It matches the Rfam family "Bacterial small subunit ribosomal RNA", at positions 524 to 776 of the family's 1533-position model. The record is from RNAcentral.